This is a small nuclear RNA of Cebus imitator (Panamanian white-faced capuchin), 107 nucleotides long. The record is from RefSeq and is a predicted model, not a curated record. Lineage: Eukaryota; Metazoa; Chordata; Mammalia; Primates; Cebidae.
GUGAUAGCUUUGGCAGCACAUAUACCGAAAAUGGAAUGAUACAGGGAAGAUUAAGAUGGCCCCUGUGCAAGGAUGACACACAAAUUCAUGAAGCAUUCCAUAUUUUU